GACGAACGCUGGCGGCGUGCCUAAUACAUGCAAGUAGAACGCUGAAGGAGGAGCUUGCUCUUCUGGAUGAGUUGCGAACGGGUGAGUAACGCGUAGGUAACCUGCCUGGUAGCGGGGGAUAACUAUUGGAAACGAUAGCUAAUACCGCAUAAUAGUAGAUGUUGCAUGACAUUUGCUUAAAAGGUGCAAUUGCAUCACUACCAGAUGGACCUGCGUUGUAUUAGCUAGUUGGUGAGGUAACGGCUCACCAAGGCAACGAUACAUAGCCGACCUGAGAGGGUGAUCGGCCACACUGGGACUGAGACACGGCCCAGACUCCGUACGGGAGGCAGCAGUAGGGAAUCUUCGGCAAUGGACGGAAGUCUGACCGAGCAACGCCGCGUGAGUGAAGAAGGUAUUCGGAUCGUAAAGCUCUGUUGUAAGAGAAGAACGAGUGUGAGAGUGGAAAGUUCACACUGUGACGGUAUCUUACCAGAAAGGGACGGCUAACUACGUGCCAGCAGCCGCGGUAAUACGUAGGUCCCGAGCGUUGUCCGGAUUUAUUGGGCGUAAAGCGAGCGCAGGCGGUUAGAUAAGUCUGAAGUUAAAGGCUGUGGCUUAACCAUAGUACGCUUUGGAAACUGUUUAACUUGAGUGCAAGAGGGGAGAGUGGAAUUCCAUGUGUAGCGGUGAAAUGCGUAGAUAUAUGGAGGAAUACCGGUGGCGAAAGCGGCUCUCUGGCUUGUAACUGACGCUGAGGCUCGAAAGCGUGGGGAGCAAACAGGAUUAGAUACCCUGGUAGUCCACGCCGUAAACGAUGAGUGCUAGGUGUUAGACCCUUUCC
Molecule: ribosomal RNA, 823 nt
Filed under: uncultured Streptococcus sp.
Lineage: Bacteria; Bacillati; Bacillota; Bacilli; Lactobacillales; Streptococcaceae
Description: bacterial SSU rRNA
Rfam family: Bacterial small subunit ribosomal RNA
Source: RNAcentral